RNAcentral lists this unclassified non-coding RNA (942 nucleotides) under Hevea brasiliensis (rubber tree). Lineage: Eukaryota; Viridiplantae; Streptophyta; Magnoliopsida; Malpighiales; Euphorbiaceae. The record is from RNAcentral.
GAGCUUUCUGUUACUUUUUCCCUGAUCACAUUCUCCUGUUCAUGUAUUUUUUUUUAAACCUUGUUGAUUUUUCUCCUUCCUCUAGAUUGUUCUAGGAGGAUCAUUUGAAGAAAAUUAAAUCAAGUUGUUUAGGACUAAUAACAGAAUCUCUCAAUUCUCACUCAUGCUUAUAUUAGAUUGUGAUCCAUAUACUGUUAAUGGUGAAACUGUUUAGGACUAGUAACAUUUUGUCAUACUUUUAUGACAGACAAACUGGCGCAGACCGAAAGGUAUUGAUUCUAGAGUCCGUAGGAAGUUCAAAGGAUGUACUUUGAUGCCCAACAUUGGCUAUGGUUCGGACAAAAAGACUCGUCAUUAUCUUCCUAAUGGCUUCAAGAAAUUUGUUGUCCACAAUGUCAAAGAACUUGAACUGUUGAUGAUGCAUAACAGGACUUACUGUGCUGAGAUUGCCCAUGAUGUAUCCACUCGAAAGAGAAAGGAGAUCGUUGAGCGAGCAGCUCAGUUGGAUGUUGUUGUUACCAACAAACUGGCUAGAUUGAGGAGCCAGGAGGAUGAGUAAACAAUUUUGCUAUAUUAUAUGAUGAUUCUGCUGUUGGAACGAUACUCUUCCCAUUAGGCAGUUUAAUCAUUGCAGAAUUAUUUUGUUUGGGGUUGAAUGUUAGUUAUUUUUGAAUCUAAACCUGUUUACUACUUCAAAUCGACACUUUAAAAUAGUUGUGUUCGUGUGGUAUGCACUAGCCUUUAAUUUCUCCAAAAUAUACUGAUUUUUUUACCAUGCUUAUAUUUCCAUGUUGAUGGAGUAAUUUGUCAUCAAAGCAAAAAUUGUUAUUCUAGACUAUGAAUUGUAAUGUAUUCAAUGUUAGAAUACUAAUCGAAAUUAUCUUAAAAUGCUAAAUUUUAAGGGCGGGGAGGCUUUGUUUCAUUAAGCUGUUCUCCUUUUUU